UGGGCGAGGCGCGCGCGGGCGGGGCCGCGGCGCCGCCAUCUUGCGGCGGGGGCCACCCUGAGGGGGCCGCGGGCACCGCCCCCCGCCCCGCCAAGCGCUGCGGUGCCGAACAUUGUCCCUGCAGGACACGGGCAGCCCCCGGGCACCCGAGGGCCCAGAGUGCAGUCGGGCUGUUCUGAGGGGACACACACACACACAGGGUCACCUGAUGUGAAGGCAGAGCAGACUCGCCAAAGAGAUGCACCAAAGCUCUUUAAGUUGCUUUGAAACAGAAAUGGCAGCCAGGACUCUGCAGUUUUAAAGCAUCUGUUUUGUUCCCUAGAAGAAAUGCACACCAAAGUAGACCACUGGAUCAAUGGGAAAGAAUUCCAUCAUCUUGGAUGGGCUUUGCAUCAUGCCCUGCAGUUGCUUUACCUGUGUUUGGCUGGCAGACUGGCAUCCCUCAGAGAGCUCUCAGAAGGCAUUUCCAAAACUCUCUCACUGCUGAAUGAGAGCCUGAUUUAUUUUCAGAGUCACAUACAAAAAAUGCAGCUGAUCAAAUACAUACCUAGAAAAAUCCAAGAAUGCUUUUCUGAAGUUCUGGCAGAGGCAGUGGUGAGAAGUUAUUACUGACAGCUCAUUAGAUAAUAUAUUCUUCUAAGUGUAAACUCAUUCGUUAUCAUUAACCUCACCCAAGUGUUUUGCUGUCUCUGGUUUAAGUAAUCUGAAUGGAUUGUGGUUUUCCUUUACUUUGAGUGCCCUGCACAGCAUUUCUUCCAUACCUGUGGGCACCAAUGACAAGGGGAGAACACAAAAAGGUGUCGCUUCCACCAACAGAACCAGCAGCAUUCACCCAUUUCACAAGGUAUUUACUUGAACCUUCUUAGCCCAGAGGAGCUUUAGAUUUUAUAAAUUAACCAUUUUGUGUUGGAAUAAGGAGAAAGGGAAGAAAUCUUACCAAGUUGACAAGUGCACUUGUGUAGAGAUUUUAAAAUGUAAGGUGUGAUGAGCAGUGAAAAAAAAUCAAUCAAAUUACAAGACAAAACCAGUAAAGCCAUGGAUGCUUGAGGUUUUUAAGGUAGUGCAAAUCAUUCUCCUUCUCUCCAUUACCAGAUUAUCAGAGCAGUCUGUGUGAGAGCUGUCACCUCAGGUGUUGUACUUGCACACACACUGCAUUUUACAGACAAAAUAUGUCACAGUUAUGUAAGUGACCCCUCCAUCAUUAUGGCCAGUGAUUUAUAAGAAAUCAUCACAUAUUUUAAACUGACUCAGCAGCCCCAGAGCAGCUUCUGAACUAGACAGGACUUCAGGAGGUGACCAGACAGGUGCUGGGAUCACACAUACGAAUUUCUUUUUGUGUUCUUACCACUACAUUUCCUAUGGCAUUACCAGAUUUGGUUAUAAGCCAAAAUUAGCAACCCUAAUUUUGAUUAUCAUCACAACAAUCUAGACUGAAGCAAGCCCAGCGUGUUCUGCCACCCUGUCUGCAAAAAAAUCAACAUUUUUUGCUUUAGGCUCCCAGUCCAUGUGACUGUAACUGUGACCCAGACAGAGAACAGAUGCUGUGUCCUGUCCCCACAGCCCCAGCUCCCACAGAUCACAGGGGAUCUCCAGCUCUGAUUCACCUUCAGUGUCCCAGUUCAAGCAGGUAAAUUGGGUGUUAAUACUUACAGCUUUUUCCUAUUUACAAAUAGCCCCUUGCUGCAAGUACAUUGAAAUAAAGAGCAAUCACACCUAAAUAAAGAGAACACAGGGAUGCAGCAGUUAUUUGUGAGUGAGCUACCCAAUGAAAACCAGAUUGCAAGGCAUAGUUUUCAGCAGUUAAAAUGAUGUAGUAAUGUUCUGCUAGACUGACAAAAUUUGGCAGAACUUGAUAGUAAGACAGUGGUAAGUUCUGGCCCAUACAAAGACCUUACACAGUUGUAAUGUUCCCUGAUUCUGAGACAGAAUUACUUGCAAACACACCCUGUACAAUCCAUAAAGUAUCAACACCAAGGAUAAUCUGAAGCUGCAGUGACAUCAAGUGAUUACAGAUAAAUGUAUUUGUUCCCCAAUACAAAGGGCUUAAUUGUUCCUCCAGCUGCUUCUGGCCAUAACUUAUGACUUCUCUGGGAUCCAGUAUGGCAGAAUGAGUAGAAGACUUGGUUUCCAUUUCAUUUUGUCUUUUAACUUAAUGGAAAAUGAAUGGAGCCCUUAAACUAUUAUUUUCAGAGCACCUGAGCUAAAUUUCAUCAAAGAGUAUACCAUGCAGUUUGUCUGACAAGGAGGCCUCAUUUUCAAGUUUAGGAUCUUCAAGGGCAUUCAAUUCCUACACUUCAGAAGCAAUUUUGCAAUGUAUACUUCAACAUUCUUAUAUAGAAUAUCCACACAGAAGAAUGCUGGCAAAAAUAAUAGCCUCUUGAGGACUGACAUUCCUGGUGAAUUCCCAGACCUGCUUCCAUACUUUAAAGGAACAGCCAUUUGCUCACCUUACAAGCACACAAUUAACAUUAAACAACUGGCCCAGUCAUUUCACUGCUCUUACAUUCAAAAGCUGAAUGUUAACUAUAGGUGUAAAUGCAACAUUUUAUUGCAUCACAGCAACACUAAGUCAAAUUGCAUUUCCAAAUUUUAAAAAAGACUGUUUCUAAAGUAGGCAGAGAUUUGAGAUAGAUUUUUUUUCUAGAUAUCCAUCCUUUGAUAGAGAAGUUACUUGAAUAUUAUCUGCACUGCUGUACAAGAAGUCACCCUCACUUUUAGAGCCCUGCAAUGCUCCAGCUGCUCAGAGAACACUACCAGUUUUAUCUUUGCUGCUUUGAGCUUGGCUUUCUGUAUUUGUAAAUGAUCACUGAUUUGAGUAAUUCCCAACCCACUUUCUCACUGGCAGUCCAGCAAGGUGUUUGUACAACAGCCACACCCAUCUGUGGGUUUCCCUUCCAUGCUCACAUUCAGUGAUCACAGUGAUCCCUGGCUCUGUGGGACAGUCCCUGAGCCAGCCCCAUCCAUACAGUGAUCCCUGAGCCAGCCCCAUCCAUACAGUGAUCCCUGAGCCAGCCCAUCCAUACAGUGAUCCCUGAACCAGCCCCAUUCAUACAGUGAUCCCUGAGCCAACCCCAGUCUGUACAGUGAUCCCUGAGCCAGCCCAUCCAUACAGUGACCCCUGAGCCAGCCCCAUCCAUACAGUGAUCCCUGAGCCAGCCCAUCCAUACAGUGACCCCUGAACCAGCCCCAUCCAUACAGUGAUCCCUGAGCCAGCCCAUCCAUACAGUGAUCCCUGAGCCAGCCCAUCCAUACAGUGAUCCCUGAGCCAGCCCAUCCAUACAGUGACCCCUGAACCAGCCCCAUCCAUACAGUGAUCCCUGAGCCAGCCCAUCCAUACAGUGAUCCCUGAGCCAACCCCAGUCUGUACAGUGAUCCCUGAGCCAGCCCAUCUAUACAGUGAUCCCUGAGCCAGCCCCAUCCAUACAGUGAUCCCUGAGCCAGCCCCAUCCAUACAGUGACCCCUGAGCCAGCCCCAUCCAUACAGUGACCCCUGAGCCAGCCCCAUCCAUACAGUGAUCCCUGAGCCAGCCCAUCCAUACAGUGACCCCUGAGCCAGCCCAUCCAUACAGUGACCCCUGAGCCAGCCCAUCCAUACAGUGACCCCUGAGCCAGCCCAUCCAUACAGUGACCCCUGAGCCAGCCCCAUCCAUACAGUGAUCCCUGAGCCAGCCCCAUCCAUACAGUGAUCCCUGAGCCAGCCCCAUCCAUACAGUGACCCCUGAGCCAGCCCAUCCAUACAGUGAUCCCUGAGCCCGCCCUGUCCCUACAGCGGUGCCUGGCUCGGUGCCCAGCCCUGCCCAGCCGUACGUACCACGGUGCUGCCGUUGUGCAUGUUGUGGGUGUCCUUGUGUGCGUGGGCACAGAAGUCGAUGCAGGCCGUGACCCCGGAGAAGGGCCGGCCCGCCUGGCAGCCCAGCCGGCAGUCGGGGCCCAUGUGCUCGUUCUCCACCUGCAAGGACAGUACACUACAGCUACUUGGGACUCAAAGGGAGGGGCUGGGAGCCCCAGGGCCACCACCUCCCUUGUGACAGAGUGAAGGCAGCCAAGAAGCCACAGUGAUCAAAAAGCACAUAUUUCUCUAUCAAACAUGGAACGCUUCUGGCUGGAUGUCAGCGAGAUAAUCAGGUCAGCCAGACUCUAAGUGUCUUGAAACAGUGAAACCAAUUUAUUUACAGUAUUAUCUCUGAGCCUUUGUCACCUGUGCCCAGCUCAGGCCACAAGUGAACUCCCAGUUCAAAUCUGGAGGUGCAGUACAUUAAAACCUGCCAAAUGCCCCUGGAAGCAGCAGCUCCACAGCACCGCAAGGCCUGGGGCUGCUCCUUGGUUUGGAACCAAGCUGCUGCUCAGAGCUGAGUGUCACACACCUACCUGGUUCUGGAAAGCUUCCGGAGCAAGCUUCUUAUACACUGGAGCCACAUCAGUAGCCAACGUUUGCAAAUUAUUUUCCAGAAGUUCCUCCUGCAGAGAAAGGCAACAUUCAGUGCUGGAGGUGGCUUUGAAAGCAUCUCAGCCAGAUGAGAGAUGCCUGACAGCUCAGCCUCUGCCUCCUGUUUUAUUAAUCUGACUUCUGUCCUGCUGCCCUUUGUCACUAGCCAUAAAUGUCUACUUUUGCAUGACCAAAACACCAAAAUAGUUAGAUAUAAAUCAACCAAAUAACAGUGGAGGGUAUCUGCUGGGGCAAAGAAACCCAACACAGGGGAACUCAUUUCUGCAUCAGUUCUGAUAUGUGUCAAGGAGGGAGGUAUGUUCUACACAAAACCAGAGGACAAAACUCAUAGCCCAUUGUGAGCGGGGAUGGAGCCUCAGGUCUUCUUGUAAUGUUUUGCUUAUAGGCCUUAAUCCACAUUGACACAGCUCUGCUAAAAGAAGCCCAGGUUUCCAAUACAUUUCCUUUAACUGUACGAGAAACUGCCAAUUGCAUUUAACACUCAUUUCAGCUCUUAGGUCUUUUCUCAGAGGUACAUUUCUCAUACUGCAACAGAACUUUCACCAGGAACAGUUGUUAAGUCUUUUGUUCUUUGGAGGUGCAAAACUCAGGACCUUAUGGAAAUACCUACAAGAUUUGGAAAUAGUAUUCCUUUCCUUAGGCAAAGCCAUAUAAACUCAGAAUUAGCUAGGUGGGUUUGUAUGGCAGCAUCACAUUUAAAUUCUUAUUUAUAGACACAAUCUCCAAAUUCUUAUCCUAAGUUUUUGCUUUUCCAGAAAAAUCACCAACCAACUGGUGACAGACACACUUUGUUUUCCUCCAAGGACCAGGCUUUGAGACACAACCACCUGUGUCUUCAGUUUUGCAUUGUGUGGAAAUGCAAAAACCAACAGCAGAUUUUGUUCAAAAAAACCCAAACCCACUUGUCCCCAUACCCUGUAAACACCAGUGUACAGAAGACUCACUUUUUUCCAUGCAGUGUUCCCUUACAAGACAAUACUGUAUUUUUAACUCACACCACAGCCAGUUCAUCAGCUGGAAACGCUGCCACAAGGGUUUCUGAACUGCACUGAAGGUUACAUAUCCUUCAUUAUCUGUCCUAAGUACCAUUCUUACCUUUAACUCAUCUCACUCCAUACAGUGCUUCAAAUGAUCCAAGUCUUUCUGGACUUUCAACUAUCUUUUUCUCAAUUUGCUUUCUUAAUUGAAAAUUUAAUUUUAUUAAUACUUCCUAGAUUUAUGUCAUCUGCAAAAUCAUCAAUAACCAGUAUUUAGCUAAAAGAAGUACCUGCUAGAAAAAAUAAUGCCAAAAACAAGUGUGCCACUGAGCCUGCUCUGACCACAGACCUCCUGGAGCUGCCUCAGCUCUGUGUUUCCUUAGACACACAGGGAGGUUCUGCCUUGGGGGGUUCCCCAGCUAAUUCAAAGCAUCCCAAACCUACAGAGGACAUGCCUGCACAGAAUGCUCCAUGCCCAGCAUUAGACAGAGGGAGAACCUGAACACACAGGGAAUGGCAAAAGACAGAGAAGGAACAGGAUUCCUAAAAUAAAAGAAGCCAAAUAAACACAUUUUUCUAUAAACAAAGCUUAUAAAACAAUUCCCUCUUGAGACAAGCAAGGCUGGGUUUGGCCUGUUCUGCCUUCAGCUCACAACACCUUUAUUCCUUCUCCAUGAAAAUAUUUUCAGAGUAAAACACUAAUGGGGUUGGGUUUUUUAGAUGUUCGUUACUUCACAUAAUCCAUCAUUAAUUUCUGUGCUGCCUCAACCUUUGUGACAUCACCGACACUCCUAACCAGCAAUUAACAGAAUCACUUCACUGCAUCGUGUUUUAGUGUAUCCAUUCCUUCAAAACCAUUUAAAAAAUAUGCUGGCCACAAUAAAAAAAAAAACACACAGUUUAUUCUUGGUGACAGAGGAAGCCCAGGCUGUCAGCUGGUCCUACAAAAGUGGGAAAGCAGUUGUACCUUGGGGUUGCACAUUUUCUGUGCCAAGGCAGAAGCCCUGAAGGUCUGAGCUACAGGCUUGGUCCUUAGAGAAACCCUCGAGCUGUGUUUUACACUUCUGAAGAGUGAACGUUUCACACAGGUUAGACAGGGAGCUAAACAUGCAGAAAAGCAUUUAAGGAUAAUUUUAGGGUAUUUAAAUACAUAAGUGACACUGAGUUUUCACCCAGUGGAAUAAUGAUUCUAAAUACUACAGUUAAAAAAACUGCACUGGCUGUGUGUCUGUGAUAAGCUCUGCACACAUGUAUGAGAGAGAAGGGGGUGAAAACCCAGAGAUUUUACUCCCAGUUCUGAAAAUCACCAGAAGAUGUGUUUGGAGGGGAAAAAAAAAAAAGAAAUCUUACUUGCUUAGGGUCAUCAGUGAGAAGCCUAAACUUCCUGGGGUUUUUGCUCCUGGCAAACUUACAGCCAUUGAAAUACAUACUCCAUGAACAGCCAAAUGAGAACGAUGCUCCACAAGUUUCUGGGUCAAGUCCUUGACAUGCACAAGUACGACUAGGAAAGGAAAUAAAGACAGUCGGGUCAGCUGGCAACAGAGCUCUUGGGUCUGGGGUUUUUUAGGUCAAUGCUAUUUGCUGUUUCUUUUAUAAUACAGAGCAUAAAACAAAGGAAUUUAUAAAAUACAUGGCUUAACCAGAUAUUUUCUGUUAAGGAAAUAUUCAUGUGUAGAGGGCUGACUUUUCUCCCCAGGAAGACAGACUCAACUCCCACAAGACCUAAUUCUGGGAAAUAAAUACUCAGUCACAGCUCUAUAAAUAGACCCGUGCUACUUUCAUUUUGAAUUCUCCAGCUGGAUAACCCUUUUAUCCAGGAAAGUAGCCCUGCAACUAAAGGUUACCCCUAAAUCCAAUAGUUAUUGUGUUAUGUGCAGCAAUAGCAUUAACUCCAAAUUGAUCUGACUUUCAAAGUGGACUCUAAGAACACAAGCAUUACAUUCAGGUCCCUGUACAGCUAUGAGUCUGUGAAGUGUGAGCUACAGAGAAAUCAGCACAAAGGCAGCACUGCACUUACAAUAUAUUCUUAUUAAACAAACUCAAAUCCUCUCGGAGGCACAGAGAGGGAGAUCCUGGGUUCAGGAUCACGUCUGUUUUAACAAGCGCAAUCCCACGUUGGUGGCAGCUCUUUGAGCCUGGUGGGUGUGCAGAGGGCACCCGGGGCAGCGUGCACAGAGCCAGGAGAGGAGCUCACGGCCACCCCCUCCCUGGGCACGGCACGUACAGCUCCCACAGAGCCAGGAACGAGGUGUGACACGAGUGACAGCCGGUGGUUUGGGAUUUGUGCAUCCUUGUCCAGGUGAAGUGCUGCGUUGGCAGGCUGUCCCCGCAGAGCCCAGGCAGCCCCAGAAGGAAGAAGGGACUCACUCCUCGUUGAGCGCGCACCGGCGGCUCGUGGGGCAGCCGUACUUGCGCAGGCUCUGCGUCAGCUCCUUGUACAGAGUGUCCGCCAGCAGGUGGGGGAUCCCCUCCCAGGCCAGGAUCAGGAUCACGAUCACGGCCGUCUGGCAGUGGUGGCCCGCCCGCUGCCGCACCAGGCACAGCAGCUUCUCCUCGUCGCUGCUCCUGCGGAUCACCUGCAACAACCACGGGGUUACUCUGGGAACAAACACCUCCUCAGCUGCUCCUCUCUGGGAUGGGUGAGGCCCAAAAAGCAAGGAAUACUGCUGCCCAAAGAGUGCCCAUCGGCAGGCGGGACUGCGUCACACUCAGCCCUGGGUAGAACAGGGUUUUGUGUUGCUUUCUUACCUGCAGGAGAGACAGCAGCGUAUUUGACAGGGGGAGGAGUAUUUUAGAUCUUGUACACAUGCAAUAAAGGAGAUUCAUUAAAAGGCAAAUAACCUCUGGAAGGAAACAAUCCUGAGACAAGAGAUCCACUAAGAACCCAACAGUUACUCUGAAAAUAAGGCAGAAAGUACAGUGCCAAACCCCAGAAGGCAGGUGUGUGAAAGCACACCAGUAAGGCACACGUGUUAGGACAGCUACCAGUGUUAGAGAUCAGUACCCAGGAUGGUCCUCACCUUGCAAAUAUAAGAAAGCAAUGAAAACAGUUUGUGUUCUUAGUGAAGGAAACAAUGGGAUUUUUCACAACAUAUCCCUAGACUACCUCCAUUAAAGCUCUCAGAGUGGUGAAGCUGUUACUGACCUGCAUGACGUACAAAGCCAUCUUUGGCAACCUUAUCCUUCAAACACAGAGACUAAUCAGUGUGGAACAGUACAAUACACCACUAGAUAAAAAGGGGGAAAAUUAUCAAAGAACUAGACAAUCCUACUCCCACAUAUUUAGGGCUUUGCCAUAAACUGGAAGUCACAUUUAAGACCGCCAAAAAAAGCAGUAAGGCUAGGUAUUAUAGAAUAUGGUCUCUGAAAAUACAUUUAUUUAUUCUUCCAACACGUUUUAGGCAGCAUGGCCUGUUCAAGGCCUCCAGCAAAGGUGUCAGUGCUCCAGUGUGAAGCUCCAACCCCCUUAGGCAGUAGAGGCUCCAUCCUCCUCCUCAGCUGGGCACCUGCAGGGUUCUUGCUGUGUGAGCACCAGCCCCUGCACUGCAGAGGCCUCUGCCAGCUCCAUCUCAGCACUGGCUCUGGGCAAGCAGGGCUGGGCCUUCCCCCAGCCCCCUCUCCACCCACAGAGCUCCUACACAGAACAGCCCCAGUCAUGGACGAGAAAAGCAGGAAGGCAACGGUUCCCUUUCUCUUGGAAUACCUCCAGAUAUCCGAGUGUUCAGGCAGAUUCCCCCUUGGACUGAUGUCAAAGCUGCUGUGCUGCCAGAUGUGCAGCUGUCACUCAUGUGUGACCCCUGCCCUGAUCACCUCUGAAUAUCUAAAUCAUCUGAACUCCUGGAAAGCAGGGACAAAAGCACACCUGCAGUUCAUCUGCCAAUGAAAAGGGCUGCAGCAGAUGAACAGCUGGAGAGGGCACCUGUGCAGGCUGAGCAGGGAGAGCAAGCUUAGAGUUCAUUUGUGUCAAGAGAAAGUAUCACCCUUCUAAAGCUGAUCAUGCACUCUUACAAUCAGCCUUGGGCUUCAUGAGAAAAUGAGUGGCUCUGAUACACCAUUCCUGACAAGGAGUCUUGGUUCUGACCAACCUACUGACUGACAGGUCAGUAUGUCUUAUAAGGAAAGAAAAAUAAUCCAACUCAUUUACAUUUAAGUGAAGUUGGCAGCAAGUCUGUUAAGGCUGAUCCACAAUACAGGUUAUUCAUGUAAAAGUUUUACAUUCCUGAGGCAGCAGUUCCUUCUACCCAGAAGAACAAUUUAAUUUUGUUACUCAGUGUGAAGUGAUGCUUUUACUCUUUUUUUUCUCUUAUUUCUAGACUAACCCAAAUAACACAGUCUGGUACUGUACAAUGUCAGGUGCCUUUUUUAAGUUCUCAUGUAGCUCUAAACUGGAAAAACACAGUCCAGGAAAAAUGACAAAGGAACACAAAGGAAAUUUAUAGUUUCCUUAAAACUAAGACCACACUUUCCUGCAGUUAAAUGUAGCUGGAAUUGGCUUCAUUGUGCAUACUGUAGAGAAUGCAAUACUCUUAUUGCAUCCAAAACCAUUUUACAAUCCACCACCUUCUGGGCCACAAAGGCAAGUUCAUGUAUUUUUUAGUUGUGUGAAUUUUACGUCUCUGGGUCAGUUACAUCAUCUACUCAUUGGAUCCUUUUGUUCCCAGAGAUCAGCCCUUCUCUCACCUGUCACUGAGCUGGGGUGGUUCCUGAGGUGGAGCUGGAGCCACUCUGCUUCCCCAGAGGAACUGAGGAUGCCCUCCCAGAGCAGUAAAUGAACUGAGCCUCUCCUGUGCAAUAACUCAACCCACAGCAAUGCCACACUCGGGGUACAGAAAAAGCACUUUUGAGCAGGACAGCUGAACUCCAGACUGGGGACAAUGCACAAAUCAGCUGGCAAACCUCGUGUCCAAAGGUUUUGGGUAUUACUCAUGAUUUCUGUGAUGUAGUUAACAACAGUGAUAAAGUAAAUCAUUUAAUACUUCAGUUUGUUUAAUUUUGGUCCCUAAUGCAUUUACAAGGAAUGAGAAAGUAAGCAUUUGUUAAGCAGAAGAACUUAAAAGCUACAUUUUUAGAAUGGGAAAAUAAAACUUUUCCUCUGCAAUUACUUUUCCACACAAGCUAACCAUGACUUCUGAGUGACUCACACAGAAAAAUAACAUGAUCAACAAAACAGACUUGAACAAGUCUGUGCAGCAUUAUGUAACACUUACAUGCAGCGAGCAAGAGGACAAGAGGAAACGGCCUCAAGUUGCCCCAAGGAAGGUUUAGACUGGAUCUUAGGAAAAAUUUCUUCCCAGAAAGGACUGUCCAGCCCCAGCACAGGCUGCCCAGGGCAGUGGUGGAGUGCCCAUCCUUGCAGGGAUUUAAAAGACUGUAGGUGUGGUGUUCAGGGCUGUGGUUUAGUGGUGGCCUUGGCAGUGACGGGUUAAUGGCAGAACUCAAUCUUAGAGGUUGUGUCCAGCUUAAAUGAUUCUGUAAUGGCAUGGUCAGGUUUUUGCAGGUAUGUAGGGCCACAUUCCCCCUGAACUCAUUUCAGCAACCACCGAAUGUCAUCAGUACUAAGUAUCCAUCAAGACCCCCACAUUAACAAUGAAUACUGUUUCAGCUGUACUUCAGGAAAGGAACAGGACCUACCAAACUCCUCCACAUGCUCCAUCAGUACCCACCAGCCCUGCUCUGCACUCACACUAACUGGCAUGAAGUUCCCUGCUGCCACUCCCUCCCCUGUGUGCCAACACAGCCAUGUCUAAGGCAAAAGGGAACACCAAAACGGGACUCAGCUCCUUCCAAAGAGCCUCCUUACACACACAUAUUGGACACACAGCACCACCAGGACCAUCCUUGGAGGUGCUGAUUUGGGCAGGACACUCAGUUGUUUUGAUCACUCUCAAACCCUUGUUUUGCCCAUCCCUCUGGUGCUGGAGUUGUGCCCCCACCAGUACCACAUCCUGCAUUCCUAUGGCUGUCCAGGUGUCCUUGUUGAUGUGCACACCAAGGGAAGGCACCAACUCAAGUGAUUCAUUUUCUCAGCUAGCCCAGGUAUUCCCAGGUGGCAGGAGCUGAGAACAUGAGCAAGCCUUCGACGUGUCCCACAGCCAGGUGGGACACAAUCAGCAGCUAUUCUGGCAACAUACCACAGCUAAACCUCUGUGCUACAAGCCACAAAGGCCUAAGCUUCCCAAAAUUUCUUACCAGAAAGCACGAGCCAAAUGCUAUGGCAGGUUUAUUGAAGAGGUGCCCUACGCAGUAGAAUUUCCUCCAGCAAUUUAGCUGUGGGAUACCCAUGAAGAAAAGUUAGAUUUUUCACACCUUGCAUACAAGGAGAGUGAAAAGGAUGCUAAAAAUUCAAAAAUACAGUAACAGGAUGAGGUCAGAAGAGCACAGUUCGGCCUUAUCAUGAUCUUGAGAGUGACAAACAGCAGUUGCCUCUGGAUGUGCAGCAAGAGAGGCACUGGGAUGCAGAGAUGCUUCCCAGCAAAGCCAGGCACCUGCCAGCCAGCCACCCACCAGCAGCUCGGGGGACAACUCUCCCCCUGCUUUCCAAGCACUUGCCUUUUGUGCAUUUCUCCACUCACUUCUAAAUCCAUGCAGCAUUUUAACCACCCACUACGUUCCCAGGAAAGCUUAAUUACAGACCAUGUGACAGAAAAAACAUGACCCUUCCUUGGUGCUGAGCUCACCCCCUGCCAGCACCCUCUAGUUUAGCUCCAGGACGAGACUGGAGAACACAGCUCCAUGCCACUGGACACUUCAGCAGCUCUGCCUUCUCCCUUCCCUCUCUGCCAGCCUGACCAGUCUGCACCUCCAUCUGUCCUUCCCAGUCCUGCUGUGCUUUCCUGGGGGAUCAGACUGACAGGAUCCCAACCAGGGGGGGCAGCACCUCUCACAGAGGCACAGCUAUGUUCCAGGUUUUCUCUGUUCCUCCCCAGUAGUUCUCACCAGUUUCUUCUGCAGUUUCCAUCACAACUGGACAAUGAAGCUUUGUCUAACAAACCAUCAUCUCAAGCAGUAACAACCCAGUGUCCACCACUGAGUACAUGGAACUAGAACACUGCUUUUUGUGUGACUUUACCGAGUGAUUUUUAUCUUUUAUUUUCAGUGGCCAUUCAGUCAGGAUCAGAAUUCGUGAUGUCUGUCCUUGCUCUUUGUUAUCCUGAACGAUGCUGUAUCAGCAGCACUUUGGCACUGCAGCAUCUCCUGCUUUUUCAAACCAUUUCUGGAUGGAUUGCAAUGAACAAUCAGUAAAGGCACACUGUCAAUAAAAGCUCCUCCAGCUGGUCCAGCUCCUUAGCAGGAGCUCUAGAACAAGGGAUAAGUCCACAGUGAGUAAGAAUGCCCCCAGCCAUGAGCCAGCCUGUCCACAUGAGCAUGGACACGCCUUGGGAAGUAGCUCAGUCCAACUGCAGAAGCUCCAUGUACCAGAUGCUGAAUUCCCCCAGGGAUGAGAAAAUAACUUUCCAAUUACAAUCAUCAGAAAGAGUUGUGUUAACUUCAACAUGAUUUAAUCCAGACACCACUAGCAAAGAGCACUAAAUUUUAAUUGUGAGUUAAAAACACUGCUAUAAAUUACUGAAUAACCCCUCCCAAACAACAGCACCAACAAAAAGGUACUUUUAGGGUUUUUUCACCUCCAUGUGGUUCCACUGCAGUAUUUCCUCCAGCCCAUUCUGAAUUUCUUUAGUCAAAUAACUGUGUCUUCUUUGCAGGAUAUCAGUAGUUGAUUUGAAAGUGAGAAUAUAUUUAGCUGUUCCCUGUAAUUUCCUGGAACAGGAGACUCCUUAAGCACACUGUGGCUCCCAGUUUUCUAACCUGCAGAUUUUGCCUCUGUACAGAGUCCGUGUAUGGAGACCUCUGCUGAGCUCCAAUUCCCUAAUAACCUACACCAGGGUGCUGGUCACACCUGCUGCUGUUCACCUUAACACAGCUUUUCUCUUUCAUUUUUAUUCUAUUAAAAUAUUUGAGUCAUUCUUCAUGUUAAACAAUACUAAAAUGCUUUUAUUUACUUCCUAAA
Molecule: long non-coding RNA, 13432 nt
Organism: Pseudopipra pipra
Lineage: Eukaryota; Metazoa; Chordata; Aves; Passeriformes; Pipridae
Exons: 4
Source: RefSeq, a predicted model, not a curated record